UGCCUAAUACAUGCAAUUCGAACGAGAUCUUCGGAUCUAGUGGCGCACGGGUGCGUAACGCGUGGGAAUCUACCCUUGGGUUCGGAAUAACAGUUGGAAACGACUGCUAAUACCGGAUGAUGACGAAAGUCCAAAGAUUUAUCGCCCAGGGAUGAGCCCGCGUAGGAUUAGCUAGUUGGUGAGGUAAAGGCUCACCAAGGCUACGAUCCUUAGCUGGUCUGAGAGGAUGAUCAGCCACACUGGGACUGAGACACGGCCCAGACUCCUACGGGAGGCAGCAGUAGGGAAUAUUGGACAAUGGGGGCAACCCUGAUCCAGCAAUGCCGCGUGAGUGAUGAAGGCCUUAGGGUUGUAAAGCUCUUUUACCCGAGAUGAUAAUGACAGUAUCGGGAGAAUAAGCUCCGGCUAACUCCGUGCCAGCAGCCGCGGUAAUACGGAGGGAGCUAGCGUUGUUCGGAAUUACUGGGCGUAAAGCGCACGUAGGCGGCGAUUUAAGUCAGAGGUGAAAGCCCGGGGCUCAACCCCGGAACUGCCUUUGAGACUGGAUUGCUAGAAUCUUGGAGAGGCGGGUGGAAUUCCGAGUGUAGAGGUGAAAUUCGUAGAUAUUCGGAAGAACACCAGUGGCGAAGGCGGCCCGCUGGACAAGUAUUGACGCUGAGGUGCGAAAGCGUGGGGAGCAAACAGG
RNAcentral lists this ribosomal RNA (685 nucleotides) under uncultured Alphaproteobacteria bacterium. RNAcentral's name for it is "bacterial SSU rRNA". It matches the Rfam family "Bacterial small subunit ribosomal RNA", at positions 45 to 776 of the family's 1533-position model. The record is from RNAcentral. Lineage: Bacteria; Pseudomonadati; Pseudomonadota; Alphaproteobacteria.